Molecule: ribosomal RNA, 323 nt
Filed under: uncultured eukaryote
Lineage: Eukaryota
Description: partial 18S ribosomal RNA
Rfam family: Eukaryotic small subunit ribosomal RNA
Source: RNAcentral
CCCUUAGAUGUUCUGGGCCGCACGCGUGCUGCACUGAACGGUUCAAUGGGUAAGGUAGUGCGAAAGCAUGACCUAAUCUCGAAAUCCGUUCGUGCUGGGGAUAGAAGCUUGCAAUUAUCCUUCUUGAACGAGGAAUACCUUGUAAGCGUGAGUCAUCAUCUCACGCUGAAUACGUCCCUGCCCUUUGUACACACCGCCCGUCGCUCCUACCGAUUGAGUGUUCCGGUGAGGCUUUGGGAGAAUGGCCUCAACAUGAGUUUAUCGUGUUUUGCCGUUUGAACUUAGUCAAACCUUAUCACUUAGAGGAAGGAGAAGUCGUAACA